This 1220-nucleotide ribosomal RNA is filed under the name Micrococcus sp. Its description in RNAcentral is "bacterial SSU rRNA". It matches the Rfam family "Bacterial small subunit ribosomal RNA", at positions 88 to 1320 of the family's 1533-position model. Lineage: Bacteria; Bacillati; Actinomycetota; Actinomycetes; Micrococcales; Micrococcaceae. The record is from RNAcentral.
UGGAUUAGUGGCGAACGGGUGAGUAACACGUGAGUAACCUGCCCUUAACUCUGGGAUAAGCCUGGGAAACUGGGUCUAAUACCGGAUAGGAGCGCCUACCGCAUGGUGGGUGUUGGAAAGAUUUAUCGGUUUUGGAUGGACUCGCGGCCUAUCAGCUUGUUGGUGAGGUAAUGGCUCACCAAGGCGACGACGGGUAGCCGGCCUGAGAGGGUGACCGGCCACACUGGGACUGAGACACGGCCCAGACUCCUACGGGAGGCAGCAGUGGGGAAUAUUGCACAAUGGGCGCAAGCCUGAUGCAGCGACGCCGCGUGAGGGAUGACGGCCUUCGGGUUGUAAACCUCUUUCAGUAGGGAAGAAGCGAAAGUGACGGUACCUGCAGAAGAAGCACCGGCUAACUACGUGCCAGCAGCCGCGGUAAUACGUAGGGUGCGAGCGUUAUCCGGAAUUAUUGGGCGUAAAGAGCUCGUAGGCGGUUUGUCGCGUCUGUCGUGAAAGUCCGGGGCUUAACCCCGGAUCUGCGGUGGGUACGGGCAGACUAGAGUGCAGUAGGGGAGACUGGAAUUCCUGGUGUAGCGGUGGAAUGCGCAGAUAUCAGGAGGAACACCGAUGGCGAAGGCAGGUCUCUGGGCUGUAACUGACGCUGAGGAGCGAAAGCAUGGGGAGCGAACAGGAUUAGAUACCCUGGUAGUCCAUGCCGUAAACGUUGGGCACUAGGUGUGGGGACCAUUCCACGGUUUCCGCGCCGCAGCUAACGCAUUAAGUGCCCCGCCUGGGGAGUACGGCCGCAAGGCUAAAACUCAAAGGAAUUGACGGGGGCCCGCACAAGCGGCGGAGCAUGCGGAUUAAUUCGAUGCAACGCGAAGAACCUUACCAAGGCUUGACAUGUUCUCGAUCGCCGUAGAGAUACGGUUUCCCCUUUGGGGCGGGUUCACAGGUGGUGCAUGGUUGUCGUCAGCUCGUGUCGUGAGAUGUUGGGUUAAGUCCCGCAACGAGCGCAACCCUCGUUCCAUGUUGCCAGCACGUAAUGGUGGGGACUCAUGGGAGACUGCCGGGGUCAACUCGGAGGAAGGUGAGGACGACGUCAAAUCAUCAUGCCCCUUAUGUCUUGGGCUUCACGCAUGCUACAAUGGCCGGUACAAUGGGUUGCGAUACUGUGAGGUGGAGCUAAUCCCAAAAAGCCGGUCUCAGUUCGGAUUGGGGUCUGCAACUCGACCCCA